GAUGAACGCUAGCUACAGGCUUAACACAUGCAAGUCGAGGGGAAACGACAUCGAAAGCUUGCUUUUGGUGGGCGUCGACCGGCGCACGGGUGAGUAACGCGUAUCCAACCUGCCCACCACUUGGGGAUAACCUUGCGAAAGUAAGACUAAUACCCAAUGAUAUCCCACGAAGGCAUCCGAAUGGGAUUAAAGAUUUAUCGGUGAUGGAUGGGGAUGCGUCUGAUUAGCUUGUUGGCGGGGUAACGGCCCACCAAGGCAACGAUCAGUAGGGGUUCUGAGAGGAAGGUCCCCCACAUUGGAACUGAGACACGGUCCAAACUCCUACGGGAGGCAGCAGUGAGGAAUAUUGGUCAAUGGGCGAGAGCCUGAACCAGCCAAGUAGCAUGCAGGACGACGGCCCUAUGGGUUGUAAACUGCUUUUAUAAGGGAAUAAAGUGAGUCUCGUGAGACUUUUUGCAUGUACCUUAUGAAUAAGGACCGGCUAAUUCCGUG
This 492-nucleotide ribosomal RNA is filed under the name uncultured bacterium. RNAcentral's name for it is "bacterial SSU rRNA". It matches the Rfam family "Bacterial small subunit ribosomal RNA", at positions 28 to 507 of the family's 1533-position model. The record is from RNAcentral.